RNAcentral lists this ribosomal RNA (254 nucleotides) under uncultured bacterium. RNAcentral's name for it is "partial 16S ribosomal RNA". It matches the Rfam family "Bacterial small subunit ribosomal RNA", at positions 524 to 776 of the family's 1533-position model. The record is from RNAcentral.
UACGGGGGGAGCAAGCGUUGUUCGGAUUUACUGGGCGUAAAGGGCGCGUAGGCGGCCACCGCAAGUCAGUUGUGAAAUCUCUGGGCUUAACCCAGAAAGGUCAACUGAUACUGCGGGGCUAGAGUGCAGAAGGGGCAACUGGAAUUCUCGGUGUAGCGGUGAAAUGCGUAGAUAUCAGGAAGAACACCCGUGGCGAAGGCGGCUCUCUGGAACAUUUCUGACGCUGAGGCUCGAAAGCGUGGGGAGCAAACAGG